This 331-nucleotide ribosomal RNA is filed under the name uncultured Chloroflexota bacterium. Its description in RNAcentral is "bacterial SSU rRNA". It matches the Rfam family "Bacterial small subunit ribosomal RNA", at positions 28 to 351 of the family's 1533-position model. Lineage: Bacteria; Bacillati; Chloroflexota. The record is from RNAcentral.
GAUAAACGCUGGCGGCGUGCCUAAUACAUGCAAGUCGAACGAGGAGUCUUUGUAGCAAUACGGGGACUUCCUAGUGGCGAAUGGGUGAGUAACGCGUUGGUGACCUGCCCCAAAGUGUGGAACAACUCCGGGAAACUGGAGCUAAUACCGCAUGUGGUUAUCAGGGUUAGAGGCCUGGUAACUGAAGGAGUAAUCCGCUUUGGGAGGGACCUGCGUCCCAUCAGCUAGUUGGUAGGGUAACGGCCUACCAAGGCGACGACGGGUAGGGGGCCUGAGAGGGUGGCCCCCCACACUGGAACUGAAACACGGUCCAGACACCUACGGGUGGCAG